Molecule: ribosomal RNA, 347 nt
Filed under: uncultured bacterium
Lineage: Bacteria
Description: partial 16S ribosomal RNA
Rfam family: Bacterial small subunit ribosomal RNA
Source: RNAcentral
CCUACGGGUGGCAGCAGUCGAGAAUCUUUCACAAUGGGGGAAACCCUGAUGCUGCGACGCCGCGUGGGGGAAUGAAGGUCUUCGGCCUUUAAACCCUUGUCAUGUGGGAGAAAAUUAAAAAGAUAGUACCACAAGCGGAAGCGACGCGUAACUCUGUGCCCGCAGCCGCGGCAAUACAGCGGUCUCAAGCGUUGUUGGCAAUCACUGGGCGUAUAGCGUGCGUAGGCUGUUUCGUAAGUCAGGUGUGAAAGCCGCGGGCGCAACCCGCGGACGGCUCAUGAUACUGCGAGACUGGAGUAAUGGAGGGGGAACCGGAAUUCUCGGUGUAGCAGUGAAAUGCGUAGAUA